This is a long non-coding RNA of Octopus sinensis (East Asian common octopus), 781 nucleotides long. RefSeq lists it as uncharacterized. The record is from RefSeq and is a predicted model, not a curated record. The transcript has 3 exons. Lineage: Eukaryota; Metazoa; Mollusca; Cephalopoda; Octopoda; Octopodidae.
ACAAUAUCAAACCACACACACACAUGCCCAUCCUUAACUAAUCUACACAGGUAUUGACUGUCUUAACCUGACUUCACGCAGUAGUCACUGUUUUGUACACUUGCUUAGACACAGCAACAUACUAUACCUACAUAGCAUCUGCUAAUACAUUACAUUAUGCAUAGCAUCAAGCCGCACCUACAAUAACAUAUAACCCACCUAAUCGCCAACACAGAGUAAUGGGUUUCCAGUCAUGAUAUAAAAGACCCAGUUUAAAGCAACCUUAAAAUAGACCACAAGCACUGCACCGUGUCUGUCUACCCAUGAGAUAAAUGAAUGAAAAGAUAAACACCCAGGUAGGUGGGGAGAACCUGCCUUACUUUGAUGUUGAGUAAACUGUGAAUCAAGUAGGGAAUCCCUUGGAGAUUAAAAUGGCCAUGUAUUAUGUCCAGCAACGAGUAAAACUCAUUGAGUUUUUCUAUUCCAGUGAAAAAUCAACAAUUCAAACCUAGAGAAAAUACCAGCAACAUUUUACUGUCAGAAUAUCUUCUAGUGAUAACAUGAUUUGGAACCUAAUCACCUGGUUUGAAAGAACUGGAUCAGUCAGCAAUAUUCCAGGAAGAGGUCCUAAGCACACCAUGCACACUGAAGCUGUAUGGCAGAAUGUCCUUGAGGAUCCAUCAGCCUCUACCCUUCGUCACUGCUCAACUUGGCAUCGCCAGAACAUCACUUCAGAAGAUUCUGAAACUGCAUUUUAAAAGGUUUCCAUCCAAAUAAAAUAAUUAAAAAAUUUUUUAAACCA